GACGAACGCUGGCGGCGUGCUUAACACAUGCAAGUCGAACGGAAAGGCCCUGCUUUUGUGGGGUGCUCGAGUGGCGAACGGGUGAGUAACACGUGAGUAACCUGCCCUUGACUUUGGGAUAACUUCAGGAAACUGGGGCUAAUACCGGAUAGGAGCUCCUGCUGCAUGGUGGGGGUUGGAAAGUUUCGGCGGUUGGGGAUGGACUCGCGGCUUAUCAGCUUGUUGGUGGGGUAGGGGCUUACCAAGGCUUUGACGGGUAGCCGGCCUGAGAGGGUGACCGGCCACCUUGGGACUGAGAUACGGCCCAGACUCCUACGGGAGGCAGCAGUGGGGAAUAUUGCACAAUGGGCGGAAGCCUGAUGCAGCAACGCCGCGUGCGGGAUGACGGCCUUCGGGUUGUAAACCGCUUUCGCCUGUGACGAAGCGUGAGUGACGGUAAUGGGUAAAGAAGCACCGGCUAACUACGUG
Molecule: ribosomal RNA, 468 nt
Filed under: uncultured bacterium
Lineage: Bacteria
Description: partial 16S ribosomal RNA
Rfam family: Bacterial small subunit ribosomal RNA
Source: RNAcentral